UCCAGACUCCUACGGGAGGCAGCAGUGGGGAAUAUUGCACAAUGGGGGAAACCCUGAUGCAGCGACGCCGCGUGAGUGAAGAAGUAUUUCGGUAUGUAAAGCUCUAUCAGCAGGGAAGAAAAUGACGGUACCUGAUUAAGAAGCCCCGGCUAACUACGUGCCAGCAGCCGCGGUAAUACGUAGGGGGCAAGCGUUAUCCGGAUUUACUGGGUGUAAAGGGAGCGUAGACGGUGAGACAAGUCUGAAGUGAAAGCCCGGGGCUCAACCCCGGGACUGCUUUGGAAACUGCCUGACUGGAGUGCUGGAGAGGCAAGCGGAAUUCCUAGUGUAGCGGUGAAAUGCGUAGAUAUUAGGAAGAACACCAGUGGCGAAGGCGGCUUGCUGGACAGUAACUGACGUUGAGGCUCGAAAGCGUGGGGAGCAAACAGGAUUAGAUACCCCGGUAGAA
This 448-nucleotide ribosomal RNA is filed under the name uncultured bacterium. Its description in RNAcentral is "bacterial SSU rRNA". It matches the Rfam family "Bacterial small subunit ribosomal RNA", at positions 330 to 795 of the family's 1533-position model. The record is from RNAcentral.